Molecule: ribosomal RNA, 492 nt
Filed under: uncultured bacterium
Lineage: Bacteria
Description: partial 16S ribosomal RNA
Rfam family: Bacterial small subunit ribosomal RNA
Source: RNAcentral
AGUGAACGCUGGCGGUAGGCCUAACACAUGCAAGUCGAACGGCAGCACAGUAAGAGCUUGCUCUUACGGGUGGCGAGUGGCGGACGGGUGAGGAAUACAUCGGAAUCUACUUUUUCGUGGGUGAUAACGUAGGGAAACUUACGCUAAUACCGCAUACGACCUACGGGUGAAAGCAGGGGAUCUUCUGACCUUUCGCGAUGGAAUGAGCCGAUGUCGGAUUAGCUAGUUGGCGGGGUAAAGGCACACCAAGGCGACGAUCCGUAGCUGGUCUGAGAGGAUGAUCAGCCACAUGGGAACUGAGAAACGGUCCCGACUCCUACGGGAGGAAGCAGUGGGGAAUAUUGGACAAUGGGCGAAAGCCGAAUCCAGCCAUACCGCGUGGGUGAAGAAGGACUUCGGCUUGUAAAGCCCUUUUGUUGGGAAAGAAAAGCAGCAGGUUAAUACCCCGCUGUUCUGACGGUACCCAAAGAAUAAGCACCGGCUAACUUCGUG